CCAAAAACAUUAACUUUGGAUUAGUGAUUUAACACUUAUAAAAUAGGUAUGUUAAUACAAAUGGAAAGUAUUUAUUGAAAACUAAUUAAUUUUCAAAUAAAAGAACUAUUAAUAUAUUUUUAGUAUUAUUUUUCUAUUUUUACCUCCUUAUUAAUUGACAGAACACAGUCAAUUGUAAAUUUAAAUAAUUUUUUUUGUCAUAACAAAUAUAUAGAUUAAAUUAUUGAUAUUUGUUUCAAUAUGGAUCAUUGGCUUUUAGUCUUGAAAAAGUAACAAAUGUAGUUCCCGGAAGAAGAAGGAAAAAACAACAGACUGAAACAUUUUUUAGAUAUAAAAUUUGAUAGACAGUAACUAUUUAUAAUUUAAAAUAAAAGUAAUUAUAAAACAGAGUAAAUAAUACUGAACAAAAACAACUAAAUCACAAAAAUCCACAAUUCUUUUUAGAAUUUUAGUAAAUCCAUUGAGUUUAUAUUAUUAUUUGAAGAAGCUAAAUUAGCCCAUCCAAAUUAACACCAGAGAGAAUCGAACCGGAGAUCUCGAGGAGGAGCACACUUCCAGAUAAUAAAAAGUGGCAUGAAAUAUUUACUUCCAUAUCAUAAUAUAAAAAGUGGCAUGAAAUAUGCUUAUUUAUCUUUGUAUUAUUGAAUUAGGGGAUGCAAAAAAAUAAAAUUAAAAUACAUCUACAAAAAUAUUUGACAUGUUGUCAUACCACAAAAUGAGGAUCAACAACUCCCUUCUGAAUGUGGAUAGCACCCAACGCAGCAUCUCCCAAAACUACUCCCCCUGUUGCUCGAAGUUGAGAAGCUGAAUCACGCACCUAUAAUUUAAAAGUUAAAAAUAUUUUUAGGUUGAUAACUAUGUUAAUCAAGGAAAGUUGUUAAAAAAUAUACUAAUCGAAUUUAACAUUAUUCUUAUUACUAGAACGGAAGUAUCCUUAAAAAAAAACACAAGAAAUAAAGUAUUGGUUCUAUUUAUAAUUUGAACUGAACAAUUUUCCAACUAGUAAAAAUAUUUAACGAAUAUUAAUCAAGUCUCUUCUUCCAAUUGUGGAAUUUUUGUCUUCUAUAUCUCAAUUAUGUUAAUUGGGUCUCCUAGAUAUCACAAAUUGCAACAAUUAAUAUUGUGGCACUCCAUCCAUUAAUCAUCUAAUAUUUUAAGACAAGAGCAAACAUGACUCUAAGUUGAUGUUGAUUUAAGCUACAUAUUAAAAGUAUAACAUAGACCAAAUAAAUAUCUUAGCAACUUGAUGAAAGUAUUUGUGGGCAUCUGCUAUAUAAAUUAUUAGGAAUGAAAGACCUUAUUUGACCACAUUAACUUUUGAAGUUGGUGUUGAUUUUUUUUUUUGCGGUGUUCGAGGUUCAAACUCUAAAUCUUCCAUAUGUGCAUUGUUCUUACGAGUUAAACUCAUGGGAUAGUUGAUGCCAACUUUGAUUGGUGAUGUAGGCUCCUAGAGUUAAAAACGGUUGUAAAGAGUUUGAUGUGGCGAUUGAGAUAGAUGGAAGUUAAAAAUGUUUGUUAAGAAUUUGAUGUAGGCAUGUAGCGACUGAGAUACUUGGAAGAUUUAAUUUGCAACAAUAAAACAUGAGGAUCCAAAAUUUUAUGGAACUUUUUUUUUACACCUAUUAUAUAUACGUAUUAAAUAAAUAAUGAUACACAAGUACUGCCAUACGCAUAUAAGAAGUAACAUUACCUAAAAUAAAUCUUAAACUAACUUGCAAAUUCUCUUAAUAUAAUUAUAUGGAUCAUGUUAAUCAACUUAAAAUUUUAAAGUAAGAAAAUAAAAGUAAGUUUUCAUAAUUAUGUAACCAAAAGAAAAAAAGAUUUCAUAAUUAUUAAUGUCAAGAAAAUCAUUGACAUUACUGAAGAAUAAAAGGAAAAAAAAUUAAUUGAUGUAAGAUUAUACUUACCAGUCCAAAAACUUUUUCAGCGUGAGCUUGGAGUUGAGGACUAUCUUGUACUCCAGCUGAGUCCUUAAGAAAAGAGAACAAGCCUUUUGCCGCAGGUGCUUUCUCUAAUAUGCUAUUUUAAUAAAAUAAAAUAAAACAUAUUUUUGCUAAUUAAUUUACAUUUACAUUGUAUCUUUCUUAAAAAGACAAUAAACAUAAAGGACAAAAACAAAUAAAAAAUCUCACGAGAGAUAAAACUUACACAGUGUAGAAAAAAACACUAUAACCAGAAAGGUUUUGUUUGAAUGCCUCAUAUGAGCUAUUGACUAAAGCCUCCUGUUUAUCAGUGAAACUCAUAUUUCUCUCUUUUCUUGUUUUUGUUUUAUUAUUUG
RNAcentral lists this long non-coding RNA (2278 nucleotides) under Medicago truncatula (barrel medic). RNAcentral's name for it is "long non-coding RNA (MTRU_LNC003393)". The record is from RNAcentral. Lineage: Eukaryota; Viridiplantae; Streptophyta; Magnoliopsida; Fabales; Fabaceae.